RNAcentral lists this transfer RNA (73 nucleotides) under Pilibacter termitis. It matches the Rfam family "tRNA". Rfam says of the family: Transfer RNA (tRNA) molecules are approximately 80 nucleotides in length. Their secondary structure includes four short double-helical elements and three loops (D, anti-codon, and T loops). Further hydrogen bonds mediate the characteristic L-shaped molecular structure. tRNAs have two regions of fundamental functional importance: the anti-codon, which is responsible for specific mRNA codon recognition, and the 3' end, to which the tRNAs corresponding amino acid is attached (by aminoacyl-tRNA synthetases). tRNAs cope with the degeneracy of the genetic code in two manners: having more than one tRNA (with a specific anti-codon) for a particular amino acid; and 'wobble' base-pairing, i.e. permitting non-standard base-pairing at the 3rd anti-codon position. The record is from Rfam by way of RNAcentral. Lineage: Bacteria; Bacillati; Bacillota; Bacilli; Lactobacillales; Enterococcaceae.
GGACUGAUAGCUCAAUUGGCAGAGCAACGGACUCUUAAUCCGUGGGUUUAGGGUUCGAUUCCCUAUCAGUCCA